Molecule: non-coding RNA, 125 nt
Organism: Brachypodium distachyon (stiff brome)
Lineage: Eukaryota; Viridiplantae; Streptophyta; Magnoliopsida; Poales; Poaceae
Source: Rfam
AAUGUACUCCCUCCGUUCCAUAAUUCUUGUCGAAAUAUUACAUGUAUCUAGACGGAUUUUAGGAAUAGAUACAUCCACUUUGGGGCAAAUUUGAGACAAGAAUUAUGGAACGGAGGGAGUAAAUG